AAAAAGUCUGAUCUGCCCUAUGAGGAGUUAAAUGGCCGCGGUAUUUUGACCGUGCAAAGGUAGCAUAAUAAUUAGUUUUUUAAUUGAAAGCUGGAAUGAAUGAUUGGACGAAAAAAUUACUGUCUCAAUUUAAGUUUAUUAGAAUUUUAUUUUUAAGUAAAAAAGCUUAAAUAAUAUUAAAAGACGAGAAGACCCUAUAGAGUUUUAUAAUUAUUAUUUUAUUAAUUCUUAAGAGAUAUUUUAUUAGUAUUUUAAUUAACUAUUUUAUUGGGGCGAUAGAGAAAUUUAAUUAACUUUUUUUGUAUUUAAAUCAUUAAUUUAUGAUUUAUUGAUCCAUUAUUUAUGAUUAUAAGAUUUAGUUACCUUAGGGAUAACAGCGUAAUUUUUUUUUAGAGUUCUUAUCGAUAAAAAAGAUUGCGACCUCGAUGUUGGAUUAAAAUUAAGGCUUGGUGUAGAAGUUAAGCAAUUAGGUC
Molecule: ribosomal RNA, 473 nt
Filed under: Neoserica sp. LW1056
Lineage: Eukaryota; Metazoa; Arthropoda; Insecta; Coleoptera; Scarabaeidae
Description: partial 16S large subunit ribosomal RNA
Source: RNAcentral